AUUGAACGCUGGCGGCAGGCCUAACACAUGCAAGUCGAAUGGUAACAGGAAACAGCUUGCUGUUUCGCUGACGAGUGGCGGACGGGUGAGUAAUGUCUGGGAAACUGCCUGAUGGAGGGGGAUAACUACUGGAAACGGUAGCUAAUACCGCAUAACGUCGCAAGGCCAAAGAGGGGGACCUUCGGGCCUCUUGCCAUCAGAUGUGCCCAGAUGGGAUUAGCUAGUAGGUGGGGUAACGGUUCACCUAGGCGACGAUCCCUAGCUGGUCUGAGAGGAUGACCAGCCACACUGGAACUGAGACACGGUCCAGACUCCUACGGGAGGCAGCAGUGGGGAAUAUUGCACAAUGGGCGCAAGCCUGAUGCAGCCAUGCCGCGUGUAUGAAGAAGGCCUUCGGGUUGUAAAGUACUUUCAGCGGGGAGGAAGGGAGUAAAGUUAAUACCUUUGCUCAUUGACGCUACCCGCGGAAGAAGCACCGGCUAACUCCGUG
This 490-nucleotide ribosomal RNA is filed under the name uncultured bacterium. Its description in RNAcentral is "partial 16S ribosomal RNA". It matches the Rfam family "Bacterial small subunit ribosomal RNA", at positions 30 to 507 of the family's 1533-position model. The record is from RNAcentral.